Molecule: ribosomal RNA, 253 nt
Filed under: uncultured bacterium
Lineage: Bacteria
Description: partial 16S ribosomal RNA
Rfam family: Bacterial small subunit ribosomal RNA
Source: RNAcentral
UACAGAGGGUGCGAGCGUUAAUCGGAAUUACUGGGCGUAAAGGGUGCGUAGGUUGUUUUAUGCGUUGGAUGUGAAAUCCCCGGGCUUAACCUGGGAAUGGCAUUUAAUACGGUAGAGCUAGAGUCGUGGAGAGGGAAGUGGAAUUUCCGGUGUAGCGGUGAAAUGCGUAGAUAUCGGAAGGAACAUCGGUGGCGAAGGCGGCUUCCUGGACACAGACUGACACUGAGGCACGAAAGCGUGGGUAGCAAACAGG